CCCAGACUCCUACGGGAGGCAGCAGUGGGGGAUAUUGGACAAUGGGGGGAACCCUGAUCCAGCGACGCCGCGUGAGUGAAGAAGUAUCUCGGUAUGUAAAGCUCUCUCAGCAGGGAAGAAGAAAUGACGGUACCUGAGUAAGAAGCCCCGGCUAACUACGUGCCAGCAGCCGCGGUAAUACGUAGGGGGCAAGCGUUAUCCGGAAUUACUGGGUGUAAAGGGAGCGUAGACGGUGAUGUAAGUCUGGAGUGAAAGGCGGGGGCCCAACCCCCGGACUGCUCUGGAAACUAUGUGACUGGAGUGCAGGAGAGGUGAGCGGAAUUCCUAGUGUAGCGGUGAAAUGCGUAGAUAUUAGGAGGAACACCAGUGGCGAAGGCGGCUUACUGGACAGUAACUGACGUUGAGGCUCGAAAGCGUGGGGAGCAAACAGGAUUAGAUACCCGCGUA
RNAcentral lists this ribosomal RNA (447 nucleotides) under uncultured bacterium. RNAcentral's name for it is "bacterial SSU rRNA". It matches the Rfam family "Bacterial small subunit ribosomal RNA", at positions 330 to 792 of the family's 1533-position model. The record is from RNAcentral.